This 489-nucleotide ribosomal RNA is filed under the name uncultured bacterium. RNAcentral describes it as "partial 16S ribosomal RNA". It matches the Rfam family "Bacterial small subunit ribosomal RNA", at positions 28 to 507 of the family's 1533-position model. The record is from RNAcentral.
GACGAACGCUGGCGGCGUGCUUAACACAUGCAAGUCGAACGGUGAAGGGACCAGCUUGCUGGUUCUGGAUGAGUGGCGAACGGGUGAGUAACACGUGAGUAACCUGCCCCCUUCUUCUGGAUAACCGCAUGAAAGUGUGGCUAAUACGGGAUAUUCUGGGUCUGUCGCAUGGCGGGCCCGGGAAAGAUAUUGCUUCGGUGGGGGAUGGGCUCGCGGCCUAUCAGCUUGUUGGUGGGGUGAUGGCCUACCAAGGCGGUGACGGGUAGCCGGCCUGAGAGGGUGGACGGUCACACUGGGACUGAGACACGGCCCAGACUCCUACGGGAGGCAGCAGUGGGGAAGAUUGCACAAUGGGCGCAAGCCUGAUGCAGCGACGCCGCGUGAGGGAUGGAGGCCUUCGGGUUGUAAACCUCUUUCGCCAGUGAAGCAGGCCUGCUCCGUGUGGGUGGGUUGACGGUAGCUGGAGAAGAAGCGCCGGCUAACUACGUG